This 312-nucleotide unclassified non-coding RNA is filed under the name plant metagenome. RNAcentral describes it as "partial contains 5.8S ribosomal RNA, internal transcribed spacer 2, and large subunit ribosomal RNA". The stretch from base 1 to 105 matches the Rfam family "5.8S ribosomal RNA", at positions 50 to 154 of the family's 154-position model. The record is from RNAcentral.
GAAAUGCGAUAAGUAAUGUGAAUUGCAGAAUUCCGUGAAUCAUCGAAUCUUUGAACGCCCAUUGCGCCCUCUGGCAUUCCGGGGGGCAUGCCUGUCCGAGCGUCAUUACGCACCCUCAAGCCCGGCUUGUGUGAUGGGCCCUGGCGUCUCGUUCGCGAGACGGGCCCGAAAGGCAGCGGCGGCGUCGACCCGAUGAGCCCGAGCGUAUGGGGACUUUUGUCACACGUUUGCGGUGCGGACCGGCGCCUGCUUGACUUUUCUGAUUAUCCAGGUUGACCUCGGAUCAGGUAGGGAUACGCGCUGAACUUAAGC